AUGAACGCUGGCGGCGUGCCUAAUACAUGCAAGUCGAGCGAACAGACGAGGAGCUUGCUCCUCUGACGUUAGCGGCGGACGGGUGAGUAACACGUGGAUAACCUACCUAUAAGACUGGGAUAACUUCGGGAAACCGGAGCUAAUACCGGAUAAUAUAUUGAACCGCAUGGUUCAAUAGUGAAAGACGGUUUUGCUGUCACUUAUAGAUGGAUCCGCGCCGCAUUAGCUGGUUGGUAAGGUAACGGCUUACCAAGGCGACGAUGCGUAGCCGACCUGAGAGGGUGAUCGGGCGCACUGGAACUGAGACACGGUCCAGACGCCUACGGGAGGCAGCAGUAGGGAAUCUUCCGCAAUGGGCGAAAGCCUGACGGAGCAACGCCGCGUGAGUGAUGAAGGUCUUCGGAUCGUAAAACUCUGUUAUUAGGGAAGAACAAAUGUGUAAGUAACUAUGCACGUCUUGACGGUACCUAAUCAGAAAGCCACGGCUAACUACGUG
This 496-nucleotide ribosomal RNA is filed under the name uncultured bacterium. RNAcentral describes it as "partial 16S ribosomal RNA". It matches the Rfam family "Bacterial small subunit ribosomal RNA", at positions 29 to 507 of the family's 1533-position model. The record is from RNAcentral.